UAGCCAUGCAUGUCUAAGUAUAAAUUACUCUUCGCGAAAACUGUGAAAGUGUCUCUUUAUCUCAUAUAUAUUAUAUUAGGUGUCUUCUUACUCUCAUAUACGUGUUAAUUAUAUAGAUAAUACACGCGCAAAAUCCCGACUCACGAAGGGAUGUAUGUAUUUUAUUAAAGACCAACUCGGGCUCGCCCGUUUUUUUGGGGAAUCAUAAUGCAUUGAUGAUCGCAAGGCCUUGUGCCUGCGACAGAUCAAUCAAAUAUCUGCCCUAUCAUCUUUCCAUGGUACGAUAGUGGGCUACCAUGGCUGCUGCGGUGAACGGAAAAUUAGACUUCGAUUCCGGAGAGGAAGCCUGAGAAGCAGCUACCACAUCCAAUGCUGGAUCCAGGGGAGGAAAUUACCCAAUCCUGUCUCCAGUAGGGAUUGACAAUAAAAAACAAUACCGGUCUCUAUACCAUUGGCUAUUGAAAUGGGCGAAAGCUAAAACCUUAACCCAGGAUCCAUUGAAGGGGACCCUUGGAAAGAAA
RNAcentral lists this ribosomal RNA (521 nucleotides) under Spirogyra sp. Its description in RNAcentral is "SSU rRNA". It matches the Rfam family "Eukaryotic small subunit ribosomal RNA", at positions 46 to 573 of the family's 1831-position model. Lineage: Eukaryota; Viridiplantae; Streptophyta; Zygnematophyceae; Spirogyrales; Spirogyraceae. The record is from RNAcentral.